Molecule: ribosomal RNA, 285 nt
Filed under: uncultured bacterium
Lineage: Bacteria
Description: partial 16S ribosomal RNA
Rfam family: Bacterial small subunit ribosomal RNA
Source: RNAcentral
AAUUGCCUACGGGGCGCAUCAGUGAGGGAUAUUGGUCAAUGGACGCAAGUCUGAACCAGCCAUGCCGCGUGCAGGAUGACGGCUCUAUGAGUUGUAAACUGCUUUUGUACGAGGGUAAACCCCGAUACGUGUAUCGGGUUGAAAGUAUCGUACGAAUAAGGAUCGGCUAACUCCGUGCCAGCAGCCGCGGUAAUACGGAGGAUCCGAGCGUUAUCCGGAUUUAUUGGGUUUAAAGGUUGCGUAGGCGGUUUGAUAAGUUAGAGGUGAUAUGUCUGGGCUCAACCC